UUCCCUCCGUUUCAUAAAGGUUGGCACGGUUGUGAACUACCUCUAAUUCAAAGCCGUGCCAACCUUUACGAAACGGAGGGAGUA
Brachypodium distachyon (stiff brome) is the source of this 84-nucleotide non-coding RNA. NCBI's taxonomy places the organism in Eukaryota, Viridiplantae, Streptophyta, Magnoliopsida, Poales, Poaceae. The record is from RefSeq and is marked provisional.